UAAUUCCUUAGAAUCACCAUGUGGCGAUGU
RNAcentral lists this non-coding RNA (30 nucleotides) under Mus musculus (house mouse). Lineage: Eukaryota; Metazoa; Chordata; Mammalia; Rodentia; Muridae. The record is from RNAcentral.